UACAGAGGGUGCGAGCGUUGUCCGGAAUCACUGGGCGUAAAGGGCGCGUAGGCGGUCUGGUAAGCGUGUGGUGAAAGCUCGGGGCUCAACCCCGAGUCGGCCGUGCGAACUGCUGGACUCGAGCAUGUCAGAGGCAGGCGGAAUUCCGGGUGUAGCGGUGGAAUGCGUAGAGAUCCGGAAGAACACCGGUGGCGAAGGCGGCCUGCUGGGACAUGGCUGACGCUGAGGCGCGACAGCGUGGGGAGCAAACAGG
Molecule: ribosomal RNA, 253 nt
Filed under: uncultured bacterium
Lineage: Bacteria
Description: partial 16S ribosomal RNA
Rfam family: Bacterial small subunit ribosomal RNA
Source: RNAcentral